CUAGAGUUUGGUGUAAAUUUUACCUGCUGUUACUUGAAUUAAUUGCAUAUGGUUGCCAAGAGAUGAUGUCUUUACUCUAGGGGGUAAGAGCAGGGACCCUGGACCUAAACUGCCUGGGUUAGAAUAAGAAUCCCCUCUGCCAUUUACUAAUGGUAGGACAUUGGGUAAACAUAAUUUUAAGCUUAAGGUGACUCAAUAUAUAUGGGGGUAAUUAGAAUAACAACAGUUCACGUGUGUAUUAUGAGGAACACCUGAGUUAACAUCUGGAAAGUACUCAGAAAUGUAUCUGGGUGUUUGCAAAAAAAAAAAAAAUUAAAUAAAGAUAGAUGAGAAGGAUUGUGUGCUAUCUGCUCGCAGUUUCACUGAUUUUUGUGGGCCCUAGGGACUUUUGCCUUCCUGGGCCUCUCCCUCCACUAAAAUAAUAAAAUUAAUAACGUUAUUAAAAUUACACAAACGUAAAUGUAUUAACAUUACAUACUAGAGCCUUUUGGUCAACUUCACAGUUAAUAUUUAUCUUCUGAUUUCAGAGAAAAUGACAAAAUUUUCAUGAGCCAUUGAAAGUACUGAGGGGCCUGGGCUCUGUGCCGACCGUGCCUAAAGGAUUUAGACCUGCGUGCACCCGAAUAUGAAAUUAAAAAGCAUGGUUAUCCGAGUAGGAAAUAAAAUUACCCACAUACACAGGCAUAGGUACACGCAGUGCUCACACGAAAUCCCCUACAAUUACGAGGACGGUAAACAGGGGCUGGGCAAGCCGGGCGUCCUGCGCGGCCACUGCGAGGGUGUCCUCGGCCACUGGGCAGCGAGGCCGGGCCAGCUCGGAAACCGCCGGAGAGGAGGCCGACCAGGGAAGCUGCUGCCCCGCGGCUCGGUCCGCGCACCGCUCGGUUCCGCGCUGUCAUCUGCGGACGGCCCGCUGGAUUGUUACGAACGUCCAGCGGCCGCGCGGCGAGGCCGGGUCGCCACGGUUUGCGCACCAGAAAGGGACGAAACGGGAAACAGCCUGCCGGCGGCGACGCCACCAACCGAGAAAACGAACGACCCCACCGCGGAGCCCGAAAAACGAAACGUGGCGCAGGCGCAACGUGAGGCUCGUUGGGGGCGGGACGCGUGCCGCGGAAACGGCCCAAUCAGGGGGCGUCAUGGACGGGCGUUGCAGGAAGGCCCACUGAGGGAACGAGCGUGGGGGGCGCGGCAGGACAGACCAAUGAGAAAGCCGGCGUGUGGGGGCGUCGCAGGACGGGCCAAUGAGAGAGCCGGCGUGGGGGCGUGGCUAUGAGACUGGCGGUGCGGAGGCGGGGCCUGCCGGGCCACAGGGUCAUUUCCAUGACUGCGUGGACGCGGAGGAUGCAGGACAGUCGCUGCGAAUUUUUAGGACUUUCCAGUUCCAGUUUAGACCUGAAUGUGACGGGUUUGUGUUGCUGUUUGGCAUUCGUAAUUCAAGGAAAUCCCUUCUUCUGGUUGAAAGCACGGUGUCAUUCCCUGGCCUUCCUGCAUCAGCAUCACCUGGAUAAUACAACCGGCAAAUAACCGGAUCCUGCUACAGAUCUGGUGCUGGAAGUGACACCUCAAAUGUCAGCUGAGCUAACCCAAGCUGCUUACCUUCAAGGUCGUCACCAGAGCCAAAACAGUGCUUAGGCUUUACCCACUCAGACUUCGAUGCCAGAAGAUAAAGUGAAAAAUAUAUGUGUGUCUAAAAAGGAGAGAUCUCGGGGAAUGAUUUGGGUCAACAAGGAAUGUGGAAUUCCAUUUCUCCACAAAUUUUAUUGACCCUAACAUCUCAUUUACAGACUUUUUGCCCUCCUCAUUUAGACUUCUCCAGCAAACAUAGUCCAUGGUAAAUAAUGAUUCUCUGUAGGCCUGUAACAGCAGUAAAUUCUAUUUUCAUAAUUAAAACAACAAAUAAAA
This is a long non-coding RNA of Lynx canadensis (Canada lynx), 1905 nucleotides long. RefSeq lists it as uncharacterized. The transcript is spliced from 2 exons. NCBI's taxonomy places the organism in Eukaryota, Metazoa, Chordata, Mammalia, Carnivora, Felidae. The record is from RefSeq and is a predicted model, not a curated record.